Molecule: transfer RNA, 85 nt
Filed under: Felis catus (domestic cat)
Lineage: Eukaryota; Metazoa; Chordata; Mammalia; Carnivora; Felidae
Rfam family: tRNA
About the family: Transfer RNA (tRNA) molecules are approximately 80 nucleotides in length. Their secondary structure includes four short double-helical elements and three loops (D, anti-codon, and T loops).
Source: Rfam by way of RNAcentral
GCCUGGGUAGCUCAGUUGGUUAAGCAUCUGACUUCAGCUCAGGUCAUGAUCUCAUGGUUCGUGGGUUCGAGCCCUGCAUCAGGCU